CAAAACCGGAUGCAGUAUUCCAAGUGUAGCCUUACCAAGUUAUUGCAAUGGAUAGAGACCUCAACAGAGAAGGUGACUAGAGCUGCAGCCUCUGGAAGUCAAUAUAGGGCAAUUUUCCCACAGCUGAUCACCUCCUCUCCCACAGUUAUCUUGCUGGAAAUUAUGGGAUCUUGCACACUACCACAUCUGAGCACAUAAGUUUGGAAAGCCUGGUCCAGAGGAAGUGCUCUUCAAAGGAAAUAGCCAGCUGCUGCUUAUAGGAUCCUUGACAAUGAGGGAUUGUCUGUUUCUAGUCCUCUGACUCCUGUGACAUAAUUGUUUUCCAUUAUAGAAACGGAGAGGCAGCUGUUUGAAAUAAAAACAAAAUAGAGGACAUACUAGCACUGGAAAGAGCUGGUUCAUCCCUUUUCUGUGGACUUCUUUGAAGAAUGUGAUAGGGCAAACAGUAAUCAGGGAAUUAGAAUGAGGGACAUUAAGUUUCCUUACAUCAAAUACAACAAAAAUGUCUUGCUCUCAGUUUAUCUAGAUUUAUUUCUUACAAAUAUAUUUUUUCUUUCUGACAAAUAAGCAAUAGUUAGCUUAUUAAAUUUGAAUAUAUAUAUUCAAUUACAGUAUGUUUAACUUCUACGUUAUUUUCUUGGAAGAUUUUUUUUUCAUUAAACUGAAACAAUUUCGGGGAAAUGGUCUGCAGAGUCCUUCCAAGGAAUUGAAAUGAAGUCUUUUCUUUUAAUGUAUACAGUACGCAUGGUAUAUGACUAACGAAACUGGCAUAUAUAACUAAAAAUAAAUCUUUAAAUUCCUUGCAUAACUGCAAAGGGGAAGCCAUGUCUUUUCAUUUGUGGUGGAAGUGCUCAAAGAGUGCUUGGUAGAUGUAGAAAUGGGUAAAAGUAUCAGUCAGGAUAUUCAGAUAGACCCCAUUAUUGAAAACGUUAACUGAAAACAGGAAGAAGACAAAGUCUAAAAAGUUGUUAGUUUCUAUAUAUAGACAGAAGCAAAAACGGCAAUAAAUAAAAA
This is a long non-coding RNA of Crotalus tigris (Tiger rattlesnake), 1014 nucleotides long. RefSeq lists it as uncharacterized. The record is from RefSeq and is a predicted model, not a curated record. NCBI's taxonomy places the organism in Eukaryota, Metazoa, Chordata, Lepidosauria, Squamata, Viperidae. The transcript is spliced from 2 exons.